UAAUCCUUUUAAUGUGCUAUUGGAUUUGGUUUGUAUUUUUUUUUUUUGCAAAUUUUUCAAUGUAAUGAACAUUGAUCUGUAAUUUCCUUGUGAUACCUUUAUGUGUUUGUGCAUUAGGGUGAUAUUGGCUUCAUAAAUGAGUUAGGAAGUGUUCCCUCCUCUGUAACUUUUUGGAGGGAUUGGUGUUAACUCUGUGCAAGUGCUACCAUAAACAUGAAGGGCACCAGGAAGGAUCCAGCGUCUGGGUCUCAUUUGUAAGGGAAAAAGAGCUUCUGAAAGCAGCCUGUAUUUAAAAUGGAUGAUUCUUUCCACCAAAUACAUAUAAGUGAAAACUGACAUUAGUUGAUUGAGCCAAAGGAAAUGGCAUUUGAUUUGACAUUAAGUCCUCAAUGAGACCUUUAACUGAAGACUCCAUCCCAAGUUGUACUGGGCUAGAAAUCGGAAGCCUUAGGGUCUGGUCUUGGCACCCCCAGCUUCUAGGCACAUCAGUCACUUCCCCUCCAGGACCUUCUUAGGAGCAAAAGGGCCCAGAGGGUGAGGAGGCUGAGUUCACAAGCCCAUGAAGUUCAUCCUGUGAAAUCUAACAUCCUCACUGAGGGUAAAAUACAAAUUUGAUGGUAAGCUGCCUAGCAGCCAGUGGAAAAAGAGAAGCCAUCAGACAUAAAUUCUCUUAAAAAAUUGACUUCUUAGGAAAACUUCCCUCUUGUACCAGUACCACAGACAGUGAUGUGCGGGAAAUGACACCCUACUUACAGGCGACAGCAGUAGGUAAACCUCCAUAAGCUGCUUCUCAGUGUUCCUUGUGUUGCCGCCGGCAUGCUAAGAAAGUGUCAUUCCCAGGGGCUUCAUGGUUCAGACACGUGGCUCAGCUAGGGCACUGAGCACAGGCGGGCACUGGUUGGGAGGAGCUCUGCAUGGGGUGCCAGAGUGGCAGGGUUUGCCUUCCUCCCCAGCCUCAAGCAACCGAGCAGAAUCUGAGCAGCAGACGAGGCCUCCCAAGAACCUGGUUUCUGCCUUGGGGUGGCAUUUCCCGGUUUGCACCCUUGAAAUCCCUGCUGUCACGCCCCCAAGGCAAAAGGUCAGAGCCAUGCUAAUUCUCCCGUUUAUUUGAAAUAGCCAGAGAACAUUAUAACCAGUUUCCAUCAGUUGCACAGCCCGUGGCAGAGUGAACAGGGCCAGGGAAGGCCCAGUAAACCCCACAGCCGUGGAUGUGUGCUCAAGAGCCCCUGCAGGGUGGCUGCAAUUGCGAAGCUGCCUGCACACGGCAGGCCAGUGCUGCUCUUGCCCCGUGAGACACUCGUGAGAAUCUGAUGAACCACAGCGGAUAAAAAGGCCCUGCUGCUGGUACCAGGGCCCCUGGACCAUGAGGUAGACAUUUUUGGCAGUCUCUGACAGCUUUUAUUUUUAACUUCAAGAACAGACUCACCACUUUUACUGCCGGAACUCUGAUCACUGACAUUCUAGAACUGAACACAUCAUGAACAUCCCAGGGACCUACGAUUCUGGAACAAAUGGACUCCGUGCCUGUGCAGACCCCAGCAAGACACAGACUGACCGCAAGUCCCAGGAAGGCCAAGACAUCAAUGAAGGAGUCCAGAGGAAGCUCUCCAUCAAGAAACUUCUCUGCCAUGUUCUGAAAGAGCCAGGAGACACUUGAUUAAAAGGAUGGGUCAGCCAUUAGGAAAGAAAACUCUCAUUACCGAAGGUGCUGGGUGUCAAAAACAUUGGCAGCAAGAGAGGCAGCACCACCCUUUCUCCUGGUAACCCCCCAUGACGUCCAGAGGGCAGACCUGGAGCUCAGGCUAAGCAGUAUCGGGCUUUGUAAACCAAGUCUGCAUCAUCCUAUCUGCCAUCCACCCUUGGAGAGAGUGGCCACUGCCCCUAGUCUGGCCCUUGUGUUAUAGUCAGUCUGCACCCACUGUUUCUUCCCUCUACACCUGACUACAUCCUCACAGAGGGACUUGCCCUGGACGGGAAAGAGCAGGCGAGAAACUUGCUUGGAGGCAUCAGGGCUCUUAAAGCCUAGCUGUUCAGCAGACCAGCGCAGACUCAUCUUGGCCACAGACGGCCAGCCCCAACUUGAUUCACCUCAGAGCCACAUCAGACACUGACUCAUUUCCUUAUUGCCUAGUGGGCCAAGCCCAUGGUGCUCAGCCGGCUGCUCCAAAUGGCUCUGUGACUACCAGCUAACUCAGAGCAGAGGCUAAGUGAGCCACAGCACCCCCAGGCCCUGCCCUAACUCAGCGGAGCAGUGACAAGACCAGCCCGCUGCUCCGCCUGGAAUCCCUGCCUCGCAUGCCCUGACCCUCAACUCCCAGGCAGCAGCCACUGUCCUUCCAGGACUCAUGCACCGGUGCCGGGGGACACCACCUCCUGCCUGUGGAGGGUGGCAUGCACUGUCCCUGCCCAGGGUGACCAGCGACCCGGGGGCACUCAGCCACAGGCAGAUGCUUUACCUCCGUGUCUUCCUCAAUCUUGGCCCCUUCGGCUUGAAGAAGUGCUAAGAGGGUCUCCAAAGAAGCACAGUUGGACUGUUUAUCUAGGAAAGACAAGAGGCCUGAUGAGGUAAGGCGGACAUCCAGGCCCAGCCCUCAGAAAUGACAGCACACCAGCCCUGCAAGGCCACGUGUUCUUCCUCUCCCUCAACUCGCGUUGCUUUUAACUGGGAAGGCAACAGUCACACCUGCUGAAAAAUGAUUUUCCAGGAAGCUGAACAUAAAGGUCUUAAAAUCGAUGACCACGCGUCAGAAGCAUCCACUGCAGAGUGGGACCUCUGAAUAUGUGAAAGUAACAAUGUAAUAACAGUUUCACAUUUUCUUUAACUAAUAAUUUAACACUACACAUACAAAUCUUAAAUGUAUGGCUCAAAUUUUUACAUACGUAUAAACUCAAGCGGUCACUACCCAGAUCAAGAUAUACAACAUUUUCGAAGGCUCCCCAUGUCCAGACGAUUCCCCGUCCCAAAGAUCAGUUCUGCCUGGUUUUGAACUCCACAGAUGUAUGAUUCCAUUAUGUGUAUACACUGUGUCCGGCGGCUUUCACUCUACAGUAUGUUGGAGAGCAGCUGUGUUGCCACAAAGACCAGGAGUUCAUUUCUUUUCAAUGCUGUGUGUCUUUGUGUAAAUUUCCUUACCAUUUUGUAGACUGUAGCUAUGCAAAUAAAGCUACAACAAACACUCUUGUGCAUCUCUUUGGUUAGACAGAAACAUCCAUUUCUGUUGGGCAUACACACUAGAACAUACAGAUGCUUGCUUUUAGUAGUCUGCCAAACGGUUUUCCCAAGGUUGUCUUAUUGACUUAUAUUCCUAUGCAGCAAAGUUAGAGUUCCUUAUCCUCACUGACAUUUGAUAUGGCCAGUCAUUUUACUUUUUAGCCAGUGUACCUGGGUGUGUAAAGUAAGGUUUUACUGAAGUUGAGGAGAAAAGGAAGGGGAUUACUGCAAACCUCACAAGUGAGGAUUUUAACCGACUACUUGAUCUAAAUGUCCCUCUGAAGGCUACCAAAAGCAUCCAAAACAUUCGAUAAGAUUCAAUUUAAGAAAUGGCUGUCUCUUUUCUAAAAUAUAUAUAAAUUGUUUCUUCACUGUAGUACAUCACUGUGAUAACCUGAAAUUCUUCCAUAAUAUUUCUUUCCUGGCAGAACAACAGCCUGAAAAUGUGUGCUUCCCUCAACUCUUUAUUCUUAGAAAGAUGACUGUUAAGAAAGUUACCUAAUUUGGUCUUCUUGAUCUGAUAGGCUUCAAAGAGAACCUGUAGUUCCUGGUAUUUUUGGGUCAAACUGGCUUUCAUAGUGUCCAGCUGUGGCUGGUACAAAAGGUUUCCUUCUGCCAGGCUCCGGUUGCUGGCGAGCGUCAUUUCUUUGUUCAGCUGAACAUUCUGCGUCUGCAAAGAACAUACAGGAUGAGAACCAAAAGCGUAUUAGUUCAUGGGUAAGUCCCCUGCAGCUCCUCUGCCCCACCCCCAGGAGCCCAGUGCAUCUGAUCCAGUGUCUCUGGGUUUCCAGGCUGGCACCAUGUGUGAGGCGAACGCUACCAAGGCCAACUCCAGCCCCUCUGAUUUCUCGAAAGUUCUGACACUGCCCCCACUUCUUAAAGAGUGGGGCUGACUUCCUUUCCAAUGGGUUUUCAGGACUGGCUUUGUCCCAUGACUCCGUCCUGAAUUUUCAUUUCAAUAGCUGUACUGUGACUUGAAUUCUUUACUACUGCCAUUGUUCUUGCAAAAGUAAACAGCUGGAAAGAUUUAGGGCUAGAUAUUUUUUUAAAAAGCAAGUUUCUGCUGCCUCAGAGACCAUUUGGCAUGAUGUCAAUUCAGGCUUAACAUCAGGCUCAGAGAUCAAAGAGGAAAGCUUGAAAGACCCUGGGAAUUAAUUCUGCUUAGUGGCCCUGCUUCGCUUCUCUCCCCACGCCCACCUCAAGCUGUCCCGGGUCUGAAGGGAAGACCCAAGUCUUCUCAGCCCCUGGCUUUCAGUCCACUGGAGAAGCUGACACAAAAAUUGGGAGAGGAGUGUGUGUGUUUAUAUUGCCCAGUAGGGGUUUCCCUCUUUUCCUUGCCAGAGAGGACUAGCUGUUUAGCAGACAGAGAAGCCCACCUGCCCAGACCACAGGGGAGAGCCAAGGGGUGUGAGGGAGGAAAUGGAAGGGCUGAGAGAAAGGUAAGGAAGCUUCUAACAAAGCUUAACCUGUUAAAAGACAAAACAAAAAUCACAAACACAUCCAUACUUCUGGUUCCCCUUUUCACUCACUUGCAGACUACUUCUACCACAGCCUACCGGCAACCUCCCUUUAGGACUGGAAGUUUCAGUAGUUCACAACUCCUUACCCGGUGUGUCAGCAUUUCUCAGGAGCUCUUUAACCCCACUGCAGGCAUCUCAUUUUCCCCUUAAUAUUUCUACCACCCCCACCCAGUUUAUUUUAGCUGCUAUUUCCUUCCUCUCUUCUAGUUCUAGUGCAGUUCCUCAUUGUCCCCCACUCUCCACCCCCCUCCUCCUCUGCCAGACUCAAUUUAUGGCUCUUCACUCUCCCACUACACACACACACAGGCAAGUGACUGCAGUAAGAGAACAAAAGAAAACAGCCCUUGGAUUAGCUUCAACUGAAGGGAUUUAAAGUGGAAAAGUAAAUCUCUAAAUCAAUGCUAUAAAAUAAAAGUUGAAAUGUCCCCAAAAUUAGGACAGAAGAAAUAUUGUUGCCUCUUCCUACUGCUUUUAGUAAGCAAGGAGAACUUUGGGGCUCCUGGCACAGCGGGGUUGCAGGAGGCAUCUUAAGAGCCCUAGCAAGUGCCCCAACCCCCCCGGGGGGGCUUCCUCCUCCAACGGUCUCCCCCCUCCCCAUCAACCAGAGUAGCGCCACUUCCAUCAGCUUUAGACACCAAGGUCCUGCAGAAGUGUCUUUCCUUUCAUUGUUAAGCCACUUAGAAGAACAAACCAACCACUGCAUGGACUCCCUGGAGAACAACUGGGCAAUUUCUUAUAAAAUUAAACCUGCAACUACCAUAUGACCCAGCAAUUGUAUUCCUGGGCACUGUUCCAAGAGAAAUGAAGAUUAUAUUCUCACAAAAAACCAGCACAUGAAUGUCUGUAGCAACUAUAUUUUCAACAGUGCAAGAAUGGAAACUAAUCCAGUUGUUCUUUAGUGGGUGAACGGUUAGACAAACUGGGGUGCAUCCAUACCACAGAACACCAGGCAGCAAAAAGGAGGAGGGGGUGCUUGAUGUGCACAACAACCCAGAUGACCCACCAGGGGAUUACGCUGCAUGAAAAAAGCCAAUCCCAAUGGUUCGGAUAUGCUACAAUUCCAUUUAUACAACAUUCUUGAAAUGAGAAAAGGGCAAGAGGACACAUCCUUCUGUAUUGUGGCACCAGUGUUAAUACUAAUGUGGUUGUGAUACUGCACUUGAGUUUAACACUAGGGGAAAUGGGUGAAGAGUACAUGGGUGCUCCCUGUAUCAUCUGUAUUAUUUCUUACAAUUGCAUGUGAAAAAAUAUCAGCCAAAAGUCUGGCAAAUAAAGUGGGUAACAAAAUGUGGAAUAUAAAA
Choloepus didactylus (southern two-toed sloth) is the source of this 6032-nucleotide long non-coding RNA. RefSeq lists it as uncharacterized. The transcript is spliced from 3 exons. The record is from RefSeq and is a predicted model, not a curated record. NCBI's taxonomy places the organism in Eukaryota, Metazoa, Chordata, Mammalia, Pilosa, Megalonychidae.